This 50-nucleotide non-coding RNA is filed under the name unclassified sequences. RNAcentral describes it as "ssNA-helicase RNA". It matches the Rfam family "ssNA-helicase RNA". Rfam says of the family: Firmicutes, Actinobacteria (1 example). The record is from Rfam by way of RNAcentral.
AGCCAUAAGGGUUAGUAUUACACCCUUAUGGCUAAUGUGUAAUAAUUACA